GAUGAACGCUAGCUACAGGCUUAACACAUGCAAGUCGAGGGGAAACGACAUUGGAAGCUUGCUUCCUUUGGGCGUCGACCGGCGCACGGGUGAGUAACGCGUAUCCAACCUUCCCGCAAGUAAGGGAUAACCCGUAGAAAUGGCUGCUAAUACCCCAUAAGACCACAGCACCGCAUGGUGCAGGGGUAAAAACUCCGGUGGUAUGAGAUGGACCCGCGUCUGAUUAGGUAGUUGGUGGGGUAACGGCCUACCAAGCCGACGAUCAGUAGCCGACCUGAGAGGGUGACCGGCCACAUUGGGACUGAGACACGGCCCAA
Molecule: ribosomal RNA, 317 nt
Filed under: uncultured bacterium
Lineage: Bacteria
Description: bacterial SSU rRNA
Rfam family: Bacterial small subunit ribosomal RNA
Source: RNAcentral